Molecule: long non-coding RNA, 1463 nt
Filed under: Lonchura striata (white-rumped munia)
Lineage: Eukaryota; Metazoa; Chordata; Aves; Passeriformes; Estrildidae
Description: domestica (Bengalese finch) lncRNA (ENSLSDG00000013112.1)
Source: RNAcentral
CCCUGUCGCAGGCACAGGUGCGGGAGAGCAGCCUGGAGCUGCUGAAGGGCUACCUGGGGGACAUCGUCGAUGCCAUCGUGGGCUCGGCGGACCAGUGUCCCCUCCCCAUGAGGGUGGCCUUCAAGCAGCUCCGCAGGCGGGUGGAGGAGCGAUUCCCCUUGGCACAGCACGAGGUGGGGCCCACGGCAGGGCUGGGGGUCUGCGCAGCUCCAGGACCACCAGCCCAAGCUCUGAGCUGCCCCUGACCCCAUCCCUGCCCCUGUCCCCAUCCAGGAGGUCCGGUACUUCUCCAUCAGUGGGUUCCUCUUCCUUCGCUUCUUCGCUCCCGCUGUCCUCACCCCGAAGCUCUUCGGGCUCUGGGAGCAGCACGCGGAGCCCUGCACCGGCCGCACGCUCCUGCUGCUCGCCAAGGCUCUGCAGACCAUCGGGAACCUGGGGCUGCAGCUGGGGCAGGGCAAGGAGCCAUGGAUGGCCCCGCUGAACGCCGUCCUCCUGCCCAGUGUCACCCGUGUCCGGGCCUUCCUGGACGCCCUGGUGACCGUGGGUGAGCGGGGACACAGGGCAGGGAGGGGACAUCGCUGGUGCCGGGUCAGUGGCAUCACCCUGGUGUGGCCAGGGGCACCCUCGGGCUGUGGGAGGUGGUGGCAUUUGGGGUGACACUGCUCCCUCCCUGCCACGGCCGCAGUGGACGAGGUGCCAGUGCCACUGGGACACUCCCAGCCCUCGGCCACCAUCAAGGAGGGUCCCCUGCACACCUGCCCAGAGGGGAGGGUGGCACUGCUGCCCCGCUUCGCCUUCAAGAAGAGGCACUUCAGGCUCAGCACCCAGGCCCUGGCCCAUGCCAAGGUGCCCCAGGGGCAGGUGCUCGGCUCCAUCCCAGUGGAGCAGAUCCGGGCAGUGGAGCAGGUGGACAAGGGCACCUUCCAGCACCCCCACGUCCUGCAGGUGCUGGCACAGGACAGCACCGGGCAGCUCCACACCACCUACCUCCAGUGCAAGGUGGGUGACCCCACCCUGCCCCAGCACCCCAAAAACCCCAGGAACCCCCCACUAUAGCACCCUGGGAGCGCCCCCCUCCCCAGCACCAGCCACGGGACAAUGGGAACGGUCCCAAAUCCAGCUGUACCCAGGCACCCUCUGUACUGGGAGCACUGAGAGUACUGAGGUCAAGGGGCUAACUGGGUGUACCGGGGAAGUUGGGGUGUCCUACCCUGGCAGUUUUGGGGUCACUGGGGUAUCCUGCAGCCCCAUCUCCCCUCACUUCCUACUGCGCAGCUUUGCCACCAAACUGUCACUCCUGCUCCCCAGCCCUGGUGCCCACCCCUUCCUCCUCCCUCCUCCUCCUCCUCCCCGGCACCGGCAGUGCCCUGGGGGGUGUCCCUGUCCCUGGUGUCCCCGCAGAGCGCCCCGGAGCUGUGGCAGUGGCUGUGGGCGCUGCGCCGGGCCACCAGCGCCAACCGCGA